GGCGGCUCUCCAGUGACGUACCCUGGAAUCAGGCUCCCUCCUCUCUGGUUCCGGGUGCGUCAUCUGAGAACCACA
This is a non-coding RNA of Myotis davidii, 75 nucleotides long. Lineage: Eukaryota; Metazoa; Chordata; Mammalia; Chiroptera; Vespertilionidae. The record is from Rfam.